UGGUUAGCGGCAGCUAGCGUUGCUGUCGAGCGGAGAAAUAAGAUUGUGCUCCUUUGAGUGGCCGACGGAUGAGUGAGUAACACGUGGCUACCCUUCCUAUCAGACUGAAAUAACUUCGGGAAACCGGAUCUCAGGCCGGAAAACCUUUGGAACCGCAGGGUUCUUAAGUACUUGAUGGUUUUGCUAUCACUUAUAGAUGGACCCGCGCCGUAUUAGCUAGUUGCUAAGGUAACGGCUUACCAAGGCAACCAUACGUAGCCGACCUGACAGGGUGAUCGGCCACACUGGACCUGACACCCGCUCCAGACUCCUACGGGAGGCAUUAGAAGGGAAUCUUCCCCAUUGGACAAAAGUCUGACGGAGCAACGCCGCGUGAUUGAUGAGUGUUUUCGGAUCGUAAAACUCUGUUAUUAGGGAAUAACAAAUGUGGAAGUAACUGUGCACCUCUUGACGGUACCUACUCAUAAAGCCACGGCUAACUACGUGCCAACACCCGCGGUAAUACGUAUGUGGCAAUCGUUAUCCGGAAUUAUUGGCCGUAGUGCGCGCGUAAGCCGUUUCUUAAGUCUGAUGUGAAAGCCCACGGCUCAACCGUGGAGGGGCAUUGGAAACUGGUAAACUUGAAUACAGAAGAUGAAAGUGGAAUUCCGUGUGUAGCGGUGAAAUGCGCAGAUAUAUGGAGGAACACCAGUGGCGAAGGCGACUUUCUGGUCUGUAACUGACGCUGAUGUGCGAAAGCGUGGGGGAUCAAAACAGGAUUAGAUACCCUGGUAGUCCACGCCGUAAACGAUGAGUGCUACGUGUUAGGGGGUUUCCGCCCCCUUACUGCUGCAGCUAACG
RNAcentral lists this ribosomal RNA (840 nucleotides) under Staphylococcus equorum. Its description in RNAcentral is "bacterial SSU rRNA". It matches the Rfam family "Bacterial small subunit ribosomal RNA", at positions 34 to 857 of the family's 1533-position model. Lineage: Bacteria; Bacillati; Bacillota; Bacilli; Caryophanales; Staphylococcaceae. The record is from RNAcentral.